AAAAGUUCAUUGGGGUUUUCCAUAACAUUGUGCAGAAAAACCUGAAUGAACCUUUUGA
Molecule: microRNA precursor, 58 nt
Organism: Bison bison bison
Lineage: Eukaryota; Metazoa; Chordata; Mammalia; Artiodactyla; Bovidae
Source: Ensembl